CACGGGGGGAGCAAGCGUUGUUCGGAAUUACUGGGCGUAAAGGGCGUGUAGGCGGUCAAGUAAGUGGAAUGUGAAACGCCUCGGCUUACCCGAGGACCUGCAUCCCAAACUGCUUGGCUUGAGUAUGGGAGAGGAUGAGGGAAUUCCUGGUGUAGCGGUGAAAUGCGCAGAUAUCAGGAGGAACACCGGUGGCGAAGGCGGAUCUCUGGGCCUUACCUGACGCUGAGGCACGAAAGCGUGGGGAGCAAACAGG
This 253-nucleotide ribosomal RNA is filed under the name uncultured bacterium. RNAcentral describes it as "partial 16S ribosomal RNA". It matches the Rfam family "Bacterial small subunit ribosomal RNA", at positions 524 to 776 of the family's 1533-position model. The record is from RNAcentral.